GACGAACGCUGGCGGCGUGCUUAACACAUGCAAGUCGAGCGGUAAGGCCCUUUCGGGGGUACGACGAGCGGCGAACGGGUGAGUAACACGUGGGUGACCUGCCCUCAGCUCUGGGAUAAGCCCGGGAAACUGGGUCUAAUACUGGAUAUGACUCCAUGACGCAUGUUGUGGGGUGGAAAGCCUUGUGCGGCUGAGGAUGGGCCCGCGGCCUAUCAGCUUGUUGGUGGGGGAUGGCCUACCAAGGCGACGACGGGUAGCCGGCCUGAGAGGGCGACCGGCCACACUGGGACUGAGACACGGCCCAGACUCCUACGGGAGGCAGCAGUGGGGAAUCUUGCGCAAUGGGCGAAAGCCUGACGCAGCGACGCCGCGUGAGGGAUGACGGCCUGGUGUAAC
RNAcentral lists this ribosomal RNA (396 nucleotides) under uncultured bacterium. Its description in RNAcentral is "bacterial SSU rRNA". It matches the Rfam family "Bacterial small subunit ribosomal RNA", at positions 28 to 429 of the family's 1533-position model. The record is from RNAcentral.